ACACGGAAAAUCCCGAAGUUAUUUUAAGCAAACAGUGUUUUUCGACCUUAGCUGUAAAGAGGUCCGCGUAAGAAAAUAGUACCAGAAUAUUUCAAGCAAAACAAUAACAAUUCAUUUAUUUACAAGACAACAGCCACUUACAAAUGUUACCAAAACUCAACCAAAUCAAUAACAAUAACCAAAUUAUAUUUAUAGCGAUGUAAAGAGUCAGGUUCAUUUAGAAUUUGUUUUUCUACACAGUAGGCCGAGCACGUGAGUCGACUUGGCGUGUAGAGCAAAUCGAUGCUUUUUGUCGGAUUUACGGUGUGUUAAAGGUGUUAUUGCAAUACUGGAUUAGUUAUUGUGUACAUGAAAAUUCUGGAUGUUGAACGUUGCCCCGAAGAACUGGGAUUUAAAUGAGCUGGACAGUGACUGCUGAAAGCUGUACUGUGGCUGUGGGUGGGGAACUUGCACUUGUGUUUCGGGUAGAAUUUCCGCUUCGGUCUGAUGUUGUUCCGGCUGGCUAGGGGGCUGCGUUGACGAAAAUGUGGCCGUGCUGGUGACAGAGUGUUUCCUUCCUUGAAUUGGAUCUGCAUUUUGACCAUGGGAGGCAAGUAUCAAAUUGAUUAUACCUAAGGCUGUAUUGUUCCUUUGUGCCACGCAAACCAAAAUGCAAGCAGUUGUUUAGCCACAUGGUGUGGACAAGAGCUUUUGGACUGUUAGGACCUAGGACACCCUUCUGCCACAUUAUAUCUAUUUCAUGGUCGCUUCCGGUCCAGGCUACUGAUGAUGGCCCGGAUACUUGUCGGCUCAAACUCUGUGCCAUCUUCGCGUUGCAGGGAUAGAAUGAACGUUGCAAUAUGCUCGUCAAGGAAAUCGACAUCCAACUGAUGCAUUUCUCUGGUCUCACCCUUUGUCAGUAGAAACCUCUGGAACUUUUUUGUGUCAUUUAAUGUUUUUUUUGCUGUGUUUUUGUUUUCUUCUUUUGUGAUGUACUGUCGGACUUCAGAAAGCUCUAUGUUUUUAAAUUCAUUUGGAAUUGACUGGUUGAGAUGUUUAGCUUCAUUUUGAAUUGUAACAUUUGUGUUAUUUUGAUCAUCACAAUUUGACUCAGGGGCAUUAUUCUCAGUUAAAUCCUCAUCAAAUUGAAGUGCAUUUAUUCCAUAUUUUUGCUCAAAUUCUUCCAAACUUAAUUCCACAGCAUUUGAAAACAAACCAUCCCAUACUACAUCAAAAUCACCUGUUUCUUGGUUGAACAUUGUUGUCAGAAUUUAUUUCAUUUGAUGAAAUAUGUUUUGCUGCAGUUUUAUUUUAAUUCUUGAUUGUGUAUUAUUUAUUUUUUCAUUAUUUCAACCACAAUUGACAUUUAAGACUUAAGCAGACGACUUGAUUUGCUGCUGACUUAUUUAAUAAAAUACAUGAAAUAAAAAAGAAACAUUUCAUAUAUUUUAAAUAUUUAUUUCCAAACAAUUUAUUUCCAAUUAAAUGAAAAUAAUAUAUUUUAUUAUUGCAUUGUGUUGAUUUUUAGCCAUUCAUUGACAAGAAAAGUCACACACAAGGUAAACAAUUGCUAACUACUGAACCGUGAUACAAAAAGUAGUCCCUCGUAAUAAUGACGUCAUGAGGACGCGCACUUAAUAUUUGUUAACAAUGUUGUUAUUUUGCUGUUUGUGUUGCAUUUUGUGUUUCAAAUAUAUUACAUCUUGGUAUCAAAUUGUUUGUUUUGUUUAAUCUGAUUCGAUUUUACUAAAACUGAUUACUUAAUAGUUGAUUCCGAGUAAUAUGACCAUUCUCCUCACAUAACAGUCCGCCGCGCCGGACAGCUCUACUUCAGCACUGCCGAAAUAGAGGAAAAUUUAUUCCACAGGGGUUUAUUUCGACAAUGCACGUCUGAUGAUGG
Long non-coding RNA from Dreissena polymorpha, 1879 nucleotides. RefSeq lists it as uncharacterized. NCBI's taxonomy places the organism in Eukaryota, Metazoa, Mollusca, Bivalvia, Myida, Dreissenidae. The record is from RefSeq and is a predicted model, not a curated record. The transcript is spliced from 3 exons.